CUGCUCAGGACGAACGCUGGCGGCGUGCCUAAUACAUGCAAGUAGAACGCACAGGAUGCACCGUAGUUUACUACACCGUAUUCUGUGAGUUGCGAACGGGUGAGUAACGCGUAGGUAACCUGCCUGGUAGCGGGGGAUAACUAUUGGAAACGAUAGCUAAUACCGCAUAAGAACAUUUACUGCAUGGUAGAUGUUUAAAAGGUGCAAAUGCAUCACUACCAGAUGGACCUGCGUUGUAUUAGCUAGUAGGUGAGGUAACGGCUCACCUAGGCGACGAUACAUAGCCGACCUGAGAGGGUGAUCGGCCACACUGGGACUGAGACACGGCCCAGACUCCUACGGGAGGCAGCAGUAGGGAAUCUUCGGCAAUGGGGGGAACCCUGACCGAGCAACGCCGCGUGAGUGAAGAAGGUUUUCGGAUCGUAAAGCUCUGUUGUUAAGGAAGAACGAGUGUGAGAAUGGAAAGUUCAUACUGUGACGGUACUUAACCAGAAAGGGACGGCUAACUACGUGCCAGCAGCCGCGGUAAUACGUAGGUCCCGAGCGUUGUCCGGAUUUAUUGGGCGUAAAGCGAGCGCAGGCGGUUAGAUAAGUCUGAAGUUAAAGGCAGUGGCUCAACCAUUGUAGGCUUUGGAAACUGUUUAACUUGAGUGCAGAAGGGGAGAGUGGAAUUCCAUGUGUAGCGGUGAAAUGCGUAGAUAUAUGGAGGAACACCGGUGGCGAAAGCGGCUCUCUGUCUGUAACUGACGCUGAGGCUCGAAAGCGUGGG
This 769-nucleotide ribosomal RNA is filed under the name Streptococcus intermedius. RNAcentral describes it as "bacterial SSU rRNA". It matches the Rfam family "Bacterial small subunit ribosomal RNA", at positions 20 to 765 of the family's 1533-position model. Lineage: Bacteria; Bacillati; Bacillota; Bacilli; Lactobacillales; Streptococcaceae. The record is from RNAcentral.